ACCCAGUGCAAUUCGUUGCACUAUCGUUAACUGAAUACAUAGGUUAACGAGGCGAACCGGGGGAACUGAAACAUCUAAGUACCCCGAGGAAAAGAAAUCAACCGAGAUUCCCCCAGUAGCGGCGAGCGAACGGGGAGCAGCCCAGAGUCUGAAUCAGCUUGUGUGUUAGUGGAACGGUCUGGAAAGUCCGACGGUACAGGGUGAUAGUCCCGUACACCAAAAUGCACAGGCUGUGAACUCGAAGAGUAGGGCGGGACACGUGGUAUCCUGUCUGAAUAUGGGGGGACCAUCCUCCAAGGCUAAAUACUCCUGACUGACCGAUAGUGAACCAGUACCGUGAGGGAAAGGCGAAAAGAACCCCGGCGAGGGGAGUGAAAAAGAACCUGAAACCGUGUACGUACAAGCAGUGGGAGCACCUUCGGGUGUGACUGCGUACCUUUUGUAUAAUGGGUCAGCGACUUAUAUUCUGUAGCAAGGUUAACCGUAUAGGGGAGCCGCAGGGAAACCGAGUCUUAACUGGGCGUUAAGUUGCAGGGUAUAGACCCGAAACCCGGUGAUCUAGCCAUGGGCAGGUUGAAGGUUGGGUAACACUAACUGGAGGACCGAACCGACUAAUGUUGAAAAAUUAGCGGAUGACUUGUGGCUGGGGGUGAAAGGCCAAUCAAACCGGGAGAUAGCUGGUUCUCCCCGAAAGCUAUUUAGGUAGCGCCUCGUGAACUCAUCUUCGGGGGUAGAGCACUGUUUCGGCUAGGGGGUCAUCCCGACUUACCAACCCGAUGCAAACUACGAAUACCGAAGAAUGUUAUCACGGGAGACACACGGCGGGUGCUAACGUCCGUCGUGAAGAGGGAAACAACCCAGACCGCCAGCUAAGGUCCCAAAGUCAUGGUUAAGUGGGAAACGAUGUGGGAAGGCACAGACAGCCAGGAUGUUGGCUUAGAAGCAGCCAUCAUUUAAAGAAAGCGUAAUAGCUCACUGGUCGAGUCGGCCUGCGCGGAAGAUGUAACGGGGCUAAACCAUGCACCGAAGCUGCGGCAGCGACACUAUGUGUUGUUGGGUAGGGGAGCGUUCUGUAAGCCU
This 1080-nucleotide ribosomal RNA is filed under the name Klebsiella pneumoniae. Its description in RNAcentral is "partial 23S ribosomal RNA". It matches the Rfam family "Bacterial large subunit ribosomal RNA", at positions 126 to 1250 of the family's 2925-position model. Lineage: Bacteria; Pseudomonadati; Pseudomonadota; Gammaproteobacteria; Enterobacterales; Enterobacteriaceae. The record is from RNAcentral.